Molecule: long non-coding RNA, 323 nt
Organism: Leptopilina heterotoma
Lineage: Eukaryota; Metazoa; Arthropoda; Insecta; Hymenoptera; Figitidae
Exons: 2
Source: RefSeq, a predicted model, not a curated record
AUUUUAUAUAAAUACAGAUAUUGAAUAUUCCGUAUAUUUCCUACAACUGGAUAUGUAAAAUUAUUUUUAAUAUUUCACUAAUAACUUGUUAAAAAUCAAGAGAAAUGGAAAAUUAAUUCAAACAUUUAACAGAUCUGACAUUGUUGACGACGACGACGACUGAGUUGCUGUUGCACAAUGCAUUUGUGGUUCAUUAUUCAGAAGAAUUAUCGGAUUGUAGUAGCCAUACACCCAGUAAUAAGUUGCUGAAACAAAUUAAUAAUAAUUAUUAAAUUUUAUAAAAUUGUACUCUAUGACUUAAAAAAUAAAAAGUAUUCAACUAA